UACAGGCUUAACACAUGCAAGUCGAGGGGCAUCAGGAAGAAAGCUUGCUUUCUUUGCUGGCGACCGGCGCACGGGUGAGUAACACGUAUCCAACCUGCCCUUUACUCGGGGAUAGCCUUUCGAAAGAAAGAUUAAUACCCGAUAGUAUAAUGAUUCCGCAUGGUUUCAUUAUUAAAGGAUUCCGGUAAAGGAUGGGGAUGCGUUCCAUUAGGUUGUUGGUGAGGUAACGGCCCACCAAGCCUUCGAUGGAUAGGGGUUCUGAGAGGAAGGUCCCCCACAUUGGAACUGAGACACGGUCCAAACUCCUACGGGAGGCAGCAGUGAGGAAUAUUGGUCAAUGGGCGCUAGCCUGAACCAGCCAAGUAGCGUGAAGGAUGAAGGCUCUAUGGGUCGUAAACUUCUUUUAUAUAAGAAUAAAAUGCAGUAUGUAUACUGUUUUGUAUGUAUUAUAUGAAUAAGGAUCGGCUAACUCCGUGCCAGCAGCCGCGGUAAUACGGAGGAUCCGAGCGUUAUCCGGAUUUAUUGGGUUUAAAGGGAGCGUAGGUGGACUGGUAAGUCAGUUGUGAAAGUUUGCGGCUCAACCGUAAAAUUGCAGUUGAUACUGUCAGUCUUGAGUACAGUAGAGGUGGGCGGAAUUCGUGGUGUAGCGGUGAAAUGCUUAGAUAUCACGAAGAACUCCGAUUGCGAAGGCAGCUCACUGGACUGCAACUGACACUGAUGCUCGAAAGUGUGGGUAUCAAACAGGAUUAGAUACCCUGGUAGUCCACACAGUAAACGAUGAAUACUCGCUGUUUGCGAUAUACAGUAAGCGGCCAAGCGAAAGCAUUAAGUAUUCCACCUGGGGAGUACGCCGGCAACGGUGAAACUCAAAGGAAUUGACGGGGGCCCGCACAAGCGGAGGAACAUGUGGUUUAAUUCGAUGAUACGCGAGGAACCUUACCCGGGCUUAAAUUGCAGUGGAAUGAUGUGGAAACAUGUCAGUGAGCAAUCACCGCUGUGAAGGUGCUGCAUGGUUGUCGUCAGCUCGUGCCGUGAGGUGUCGGCUUAAGUGCCAUAACGAGCGCAACCCUUAUCUUUAGUUACUAACAGGUUAUGCUGAGGACUCUAGAGAGACUGCCGUCGUAAGAUGUGAGGAAGGUGGGGAUGACGUCAAAUCAGCACGGCCCUUACGUCCGGGGCUACACACGUGUUACAAUGGGGGGUACAGAAGGCAGCUAGCGGGUGACCGUAUGCUAAUCCCAAAAGCCUCUCUCAGUUCGGAUCGAAGUCUGCAACCCGACUUCGUGAAGCUGGAUUCGCUAGUAAUCGCGCAUCAGCCACGGCGCGGUGAAUACGUUCCCGGGCCUUGUACACACCGCCCGUCAAGCCAUGGGAGCCGGGGGUACCUGAAGUACGUAACCGCAAGGAUCGUCCUAGGGUAAAACUGGUGACUGGGGCUAAGUCA
RNAcentral lists this ribosomal RNA (1444 nucleotides) under uncultured organism. RNAcentral describes it as "SSU rRNA". It matches the Rfam family "Bacterial small subunit ribosomal RNA". The record is from RNAcentral.